This 429-nucleotide ribosomal RNA is filed under the name Actinomycetes bacterium. Its description in RNAcentral is "Actinobacteria bacterium partial 16S ribosomal RNA". It matches the Rfam family "Bacterial small subunit ribosomal RNA", at positions 355 to 776 of the family's 1533-position model. Lineage: Bacteria; Bacillati; Actinomycetota; Actinomycetes. The record is from RNAcentral.
UAGGGAAUCUUCCGCAAUGGGCGAAAGCCUGACGGAGCAACGCCGCGUGAGUGAUGAAGGUCUUCUGAUCGUAAAACUCUGUUAUUAGGGAAGAACAAAUGUGUAAGUAACUAUGCACGUCUUGACGGUACCUAAUCAGAAAGCCACGGCUAACUACGUGCCAGCAGCCGCGGUAAUACGUAGGUGGCAAGCGUUAUCCGGAAUUAUUGGGCGUAAAGCGCGCGUAGGCGGUUUUUUAAGUCUGAUGUGAAAGCCCACGGCUCAACCGUGGAGGGUCAUUGGAAACUGGAAAACUUGAGUGCAGAAGAGGAAAGUGGAAUUCCAUGUGUAGCGGUGAAAUGCGCAGAGAUAUGGAGGAACACCAGUGGCGAAGGCGACUUUCUGGUCUGUAACUGACGCUGAUGUGCGAAAGCGUGGGGAUCAAACAGG